GAUUCUGGCUCAGGAUGAACGCUGGCGGCGUGCCUAACACAUGCAAGUCGAGCGGAGAUAAGUUGAAGCCUAGCGAUUCUUAUCUAGCGGCGGAUGGGUGAGUAACACGUGGGUAACCUGCCCUGUACUGGGGGAUAACAGCUGGAAACGGCUGUUAAUACCGCAUAUGCGCACGGAGCCGCAUGGCCCUGGGCGGAAAGAUUCAUCGGUACAGGAUGGGCCCGCGCCGGAUUAACUUGUUGGCGGGGUAACGGCCCACCAAGGUGAUGAUCCGUAGCCGACCUGAGAGGGUGACCGGCCACAUUGGGACUGAGACACGGCCCAAACUCCUACGGGAGGCAGCAGUGGGGGAUAUUGCACAAUGGGGGAAACCCUGAUGCCAGCGACGCCGCGUGAAGGAAGAAGUAUUUCGGUAUGUAAACUUCUAUCAGCGGGGAAGAAGAUGACGGUACCCGCACAAGAAGCCCCGGCUAACUACGUGCCAGCAGCUGC
This 492-nucleotide ribosomal RNA is filed under the name uncultured bacterium. Its description in RNAcentral is "bacterial SSU rRNA". It matches the Rfam family "Bacterial small subunit ribosomal RNA", at positions 15 to 518 of the family's 1533-position model. The record is from RNAcentral.